UGACUGAAAAGACAAAUCAUGCAGAUGAUGCAUAAAGAGAUGAGAAAGAUUUAAUACCCUCAGCAGGUAAGGAAUCAAUUGAGCCGCUAUCCCCUCGGAGGGAAGCGUGGGCGUAUUUCACUCAGGGACCUUAAAUACAUUCCUGGAUGAGUAGCCAUUCAUAAGCAUGCUUGGCCAAGGAGCUUAUGGCCAUGCACAGUUUAAGGUAACGGAGCACACGUUUAGAUUUAAGUGAUGUCGAGAAAGAGUCUCCCACAAAAGUGCUCACCUUGCUUUGUGGCCAACAGCACCGCUGUGGGCACUUGGCGUUGUGGGCACAGGACUCUCAUGGAGUCCGAACCCCUGGUGAGCUUUGUCCACGUGACGCACUGAAGUCAGAAGCAGAAGGCUGCUUAGGCAUGUCAAGAAGAUGGCGGAAGGAUGUUUUGAAUUUCAGUUUGUGCCCGUCCCUUCUCCCCUCAGACUUGGUCUCCUCGUUUCUUCUGUGUUGUUCUGUCAGGGAUAAAGACAGUUCUGAAACCUCAUUUUUGAUGGCUGCUGUUAACCUAAACAACUCUCAUCCCCCAAGAAGAGGGCCUGACCUCAGGGAUGGUGCUGCUCAUGGCUCCUUCGUCUUCAGAGACGCAGCAGGGACGCUGCUACUGUGUGACAGUGCAUGGCUGUUUCCAUGUGCUGCUUCGCCUUUGUCUGCAAGGAUCUGUCUCCCCACUUGCAGAGCACAGAGGUGUCCAGGUGGCACUAACUGUCCCCACCCCUUCUCCAGGCUCCUUUCUGCUGUUCCAGGACAGCCUGCCCUGUGCUGGUAUAUGUUCUGUCAGGCUUCAAGCUCCUUCCCACCCUGGGCUGCCCACAAACACAGUGGAAAACACAGCUCAGCCUUGUAAGCCUUUUAAGAGCCAGACCCUCUCCAUUUGCUGAGUAAACUUGCCCAGGGUUAAAAUACCCCUUGCCCUAGGAAUAAAGACAACAUAAAGUG
This 976-nucleotide long non-coding RNA is filed under the name Rattus norvegicus (Norway rat). RNAcentral describes it as "long non-coding RNA NONRATT012817". Lineage: Eukaryota; Metazoa; Chordata; Mammalia; Rodentia; Muridae. The record is from RNAcentral.